This 251-nucleotide long non-coding RNA is filed under the name Elaeis guineensis (African oil palm). RNAcentral describes it as "long non-coding RNA (EGUI_LNC000436)". Lineage: Eukaryota; Viridiplantae; Streptophyta; Magnoliopsida; Arecales; Arecaceae. The record is from RNAcentral.
CAUAUAGUUUUGUCCUUCGGGGCAGUAUUGCAUGGGCCAAAAGAUGUCUCACAAAGGGCUGGAGGGUUUCGAAGCUUUAUAAAAUAAGAUGGCCUGACUGAACAACCGAUAUGAGACUAAAGUUCCACUCUCUUCGCAACAUCUAGCAUUUAAAUUAGCUCCCAUUUUCUCAAACACUAGUUGAGUAUGUUUUCUUUUUGAUAAAAGCUAGUUGAGUAUGUUGAUUUGGUGUGCACUUAAAUUUUAGCCCU